CGAAAGCCUGACGGAGCAACGCCGCGUGAGGGAGGAAGGUCUUUGGAUUGUAAACCUCUUUUCUCUAGGAAGAUGAUGACGGUACUAGAGGAAUCAGCAUCGGCUAACUCCGUGCCAGCAGCCGCGGUAAUACGGGGGAUGCAAGCGUUAUCCGGAAUUAUUGGGCGUAAAGCGUCCGUAGGCGGCCGAGCAAGUCUGCUGUUAAAGCGUGCAGCUCAACUGCAUAAGGGCAGUGGAAACUGUUUGGCUAGAGUGUGGUAGGGGUAGAGGGAAUUCCCGGUGUAGCGGUGAAGUGCGUAGAUAUCGGGAAGAACACCAGUGGCGAAAGCGCUCUACUGGGCCACAACUGACGCUGAUGGACGAAAGCUAGGGGAGCG
Molecule: ribosomal RNA, 377 nt
Filed under: uncultured cyanobacterium
Lineage: Bacteria; Bacillati; Cyanobacteriota
Description: bacterial SSU rRNA
Rfam family: Bacterial small subunit ribosomal RNA
Source: RNAcentral